Molecule: long non-coding RNA, 603 nt
Organism: Hevea brasiliensis (rubber tree)
Lineage: Eukaryota; Viridiplantae; Streptophyta; Magnoliopsida; Malpighiales; Euphorbiaceae
Exons: 2
Source: RefSeq, a predicted model, not a curated record
AAUUCCUCGGAGACUUCGACCAACUUUCACGUUGCUGUAGUCUAGCCUAUCGCCUGCUUCUUAAUACUAUAGUAAUCAAGUCCUUAAUUUGUUUUGUAUAUAUAAAAGCGGAACAACAAGCAGGAUGAGGAACAAUGAAAAUUAACUUGUCUUUCUUCAUACAAAAUGGCAUAGCGAAGCUUUUAUCUUGUAUUUUUAUGCAUUAUCAACUUGCUUUUGUUUCUCUUCUUCUCGUCUGAAACAGUUCUGUCAGCUAGACCUGCACAGGCCCCACUGUCUUCAUCUAAGAAGGUGUCUGCUAUACAAGCCAGAAUCCCGAAACCCAAGGAGAAGAGUGAGCAGCAAAAAUAUUUUGAGGAAAGCAAAGCUUCUGCUAGUGGAAGCGAUUCAGCACCUGCUGGACAGGGACACUAGGGCAGUGGCGUAUCGGUUGAAGGUGUUCUCUUCUUCUAUCAAUUAAGGAUGACUAUUCACGGCCUAAGCCUUUCUAUGCAUGAAAUAGCAGAAUAUGUACUCCAAGAAACAUCAAAUUUUUGUUAUUUAUGGGUUAAUAUACUGUAUUAAUUUAAUUUGUUAAAAUAAAAUUUGUCAACUUUAAUAUUA